CGUUCUCUAACAUCGCGUAGAGUUGGUAGUCUCGCGACAAAUUCAUAUUGCCCUAGCAAUGCCGUACUGUUCCGUUUUGGAGUGUAAAAAUGAUAGUAGGACAAAAAAUCUUAAAAAUGGAGGUAUUUCGUAUCAUCGGUUUCCCAAAGAUGCAAGCAUCAAAGAGAAAUGGAUAGAUGCAACGAGUAGAGUUAAUUGGAUACCAACCGAACUGUUCGUCAGCUGUUGAAAGGAUAAACAGAGUCUCAAGAUAUGUCACAAUACGAUCAAAUUGAGGACGAUUCAGAAAUUGAAGAACUAGGAGGGCACUUUUCUGAUUUCAGUAAUAAAGCAAUAGCCCAUAUUGCUGGUUACAUUGCCCGAAUGUUAAUGAAAAAAAUAAACUGUGAUGUCUGUGUUGACGCAUUAGUGACACAUCAUUUUCAACCAGAGAUUUUCGAAAAGAAGUAGCGAUAACUCAAAUAAUGCGAAAGUUCAUAGGAACUCUUUUAUUUAACGAUAUUGCCUCCCAUCAAAUUGGCGAAUUUCUUGCGUCCAAUCACGUUACCGAUUUGAUGAAGGCAAUAGUCGAAAAAUAUAUAAAUGUUCGCAUACAUCAUUUAUUAAAAUUAAAAAUAAGACUUUCGAAACGCCAGUUUCUUAACAAAUAUGUUUUAUUUCAAGGGCAAUAAAUAAAAUUUUACUAUUUUCAUA
This is a long non-coding RNA of Maniola jurtina (meadow brown), 693 nucleotides long. RefSeq lists it as uncharacterized. Lineage: Eukaryota; Metazoa; Arthropoda; Insecta; Lepidoptera; Nymphalidae. The record is from RefSeq and is a predicted model, not a curated record. The transcript has 2 exons.